GAUGAACGCUGGCGGCGUGCCUAAUACAUGCAAGUCGAGCGAACAGAUGAGGAGCUUGCUCCUCUGACGUUAGCGGCGGACGGGUGAGUAACACGUGGAUAACCUACCUAUAAGACUGGGAUAACUUCGGGAAACCGGAGCUAAUACCGGAUAAUAUAUUGAACCGCAUGGUUCAAUAGUGAAAGACGGUUUUGCUGUCACUUAUAGAUGGAUCCGCGCCGCAUUAGCUAGUUGGUAAGGUAACGGCUUACCAAGGCAACGAUGCGUAGCCGACCUGAGAGGGUGAUCGGCCACACUGGAACUGAGACACGGUCCAGACUCCUACGGGGGGCAGCAGUAGGGAAUCUUCCGCAAAGGGCGAAAGCCUGACGGAGCAACGCCGCGUGAGUGAUGAAGGUCUUCGGAUCGUAAAACUCUGUUAUUAGGGAAGAACAAAUGUGUAAGUAACUAUGCACGUCUUGACGGUACCUAAUCAGAAAGCCACGGCUAACUACGUG
This 497-nucleotide ribosomal RNA is filed under the name uncultured bacterium. RNAcentral's name for it is "partial 16S ribosomal RNA". It matches the Rfam family "Bacterial small subunit ribosomal RNA", at positions 28 to 507 of the family's 1533-position model. The record is from RNAcentral.